GGAGAGAUGUCCGAGUGGUCGAAGGAGCACGCCUGGAAAGCGUGUAUAGGGGCAACUCUAUCAGGGGUUCAAAUCCCCUUCUCUCCG
This is a non-coding RNA of Clostridium chauvoei JF4335, 87 nucleotides long. Lineage: Bacteria; Bacillati; Bacillota; Clostridia; Eubacteriales; Clostridiaceae. The record is from Rfam.